AUGUUCCCGCCGUCCCUCAGCCCAUCCCCAGACGUCGAUGCGCUCUUCACCGAGCUGAUCAACCUCAGCAAGCUAGAAUACGAGCUCCUGGUGCGCUACGUGCCCGGCGGCAUCGCCCCCGCCCGCAUUGCCUUCAUCGGCCCCGGCCCACUUCCAUUCAGCUCCUUUGUCCUCGCCGCGCGCCACCUGCCCGACACCAUGUUCGACAAUUACGACCUGUGCGGCGCGGCCAACGAUCGUGCCAGCAAGCUGUUCCGCGCCGACACAGACGUGGGCGCCCGCAUGUCCUUCCACACGGCCGAUGUCGCAGACCCCGCCGAUGAGCUCGCCACAUACGACGUCGUGUUCCUGACCGCUGAGGACAAGGCCAAGGUCAUCGCACACCUCGGUGAACACAUGGCGGACGUGGCGGCUUUUGUUGUGCGCAGCGCCCAUGGAGCCCGUGGGUUCCUGUACCCGAUUGUCGACCCCGAGGACAUCGGCCGAGGCGGGUUCUAG
Molecule: ribosomal RNA, 498 nt
Filed under: Triticum aestivum (bread wheat)
Lineage: Eukaryota; Viridiplantae; Streptophyta; Magnoliopsida; Poales; Poaceae
Description: partial small subunit ribosomal RNA
Source: RNAcentral